Molecule: ribosomal RNA, 423 nt
Filed under: uncultured bacterium
Lineage: Bacteria
Description: bacterial SSU rRNA
Rfam family: Bacterial small subunit ribosomal RNA
Source: RNAcentral
AAGACCUUGCACUUUUGGAGCGGCCGAUGUCUGAUUAGCUAGUUGGUGGGGUAAUGGCCUACCAAAGCUUCGAUCAGUAGCUGGUCUGAGAGGACGGCCAGCCACACUGGGACUGAGACACGGCCCAGACUCCUACGGGAGGCAGCAGUGGGGAAUUUUGGACAAUGGGCGCAAGCCUGAUCCAGCCAUGCCGCGUGAGUGAAGAAGGCCUUCGGGUUGUAAAGCUCUUUCAGUCGGGAAGAAAAGGUUGCGACUAAUAAUCGCAAUUCAUGACGGUACCGGAAGAAGAAGCACCGGCUAACUACGUGCCAGCAGCCGCGGUAAUACGUAGGGUGCGAGCGUUAAUCGGAAUUACUGGGCGUAAAGGGUGCGCAGGCGGUUUUGUAAGUCAGAUGUGAGAUCCCCGGGCUUAACCUGGGAACU